GGAUGCGAUCAUACCAGCACUAAAGCAUCGGAUCCCAUCAGAACUCCGAAGUUAAGCGUGCUUGGGCGAGAGUAGUAUUAGGAUGGGUGACCUACUAGGAAGUCCUCGUGUUGCAUUCC
RNAcentral lists this ribosomal RNA (119 nucleotides) under Triticum dicoccoides. Lineage: Eukaryota; Viridiplantae; Streptophyta; Magnoliopsida; Poales; Poaceae. The record is from RNAcentral.